Small nucleolar RNA from Gallus gallus (chicken), 86 nucleotides. Lineage: Eukaryota; Metazoa; Chordata; Aves; Galliformes; Phasianidae. The record is from Ensembl.
UCUGGCAAUGAUGACACACUUGCCCUCUCUGAGAACAGUGCUUGCUAAUGAGAGAAGCUUUACAUACUCAGCAGAGCUGAGCCAGA